CAGAGUUUUCUAACUCCUAAACCCUUUGUGAACUUACCAUUCUGUUGCCUCGGCGGGCCUCUGGGAUUCGUCCCACGUCCGCCGGCGGCCCCUGUAAACUCUGUUACAUAUAAGCAAUCUGAGCGUCUUUUAAAAAUAAAGUCA
This 144-nucleotide unclassified non-coding RNA is filed under the name uncultured Ascomycota. RNAcentral's name for it is "sequence contains ITS1". The record is from RNAcentral. Lineage: Eukaryota; Fungi; Ascomycota.